Long non-coding RNA from Anoplophora glabripennis (Asian longhorned beetle), 1249 nucleotides. RefSeq lists it as uncharacterized. The record is from RefSeq and is a predicted model, not a curated record. The transcript has 5 exons. NCBI's taxonomy places the organism in Eukaryota, Metazoa, Arthropoda, Insecta, Coleoptera, Cerambycidae.
UAUUGCAAUUGGAUAAAUUAUACUUCAUUAAUUAUUUUAGUUGUUUUUGUUUCUGUGCGUGUUUCUUUGUUUCUUUGCAGGAAAAACCUGCUUGAAUUGGAAAAUAUUUCCUCAACGGAUGUGAAAUGUGUUUGGGCAACUAAAAAGGAGGCAUCUUUAAAUAAAAAAAAAUUAAUAGAAAAUGAAGAAUAUAAAAAUUCUCCUGGGCCUUCAAUAGCCAUUGAUUUGUAAUUAUUCAAGUUGAAAGUCAACUACAAACAACUGAUACAUUAUGCACUGAUUUGUAUUAUAUUUUCGAGAAUGCCACAAAGUCACCUAUCAUGAAUAGAAUUGCUGAUAUAAUUGUACACCCUCAAAGGAAAUGUUGUGCUGAUACAUAUCAAGAAAAAAUUGUUUGCUAUAAUAUAAAAGAUAUACCUAUGUAUAGAAACUUCUUUAAAUAGGAAAAAAUGGCAAGAGCAGAGGAGGUAUUGAAUAACAGGAUCUAGAUGCUAUGGACUUUAUACUUAUAAAAAGGGAGACUGGGAAAUAAAAAGCGCAAAAUAUUUCUGGCCUAAAACAUUUUCAAAUAAGUACACAAAAUAUGGAAAUGCUGCUGAAAAGGAAGCUAGGGAUACAUAUUGCAGGAACUUGGGCAGAAAGGUUUUAACAUGUGGAUUGAUUAUUUCAAAAUCAAAUCCGUACCUAGCAUAUUCACCAGAUGGUAUUGUGAUGGACAAAAAUGUUCCUAUUAAAUUGCUUGAAAUUAAAUGUCCAUUUAAAGGUCAAGAGCUUACUGCAGGGGCAUUGUUUUCUUGUUGCCCAUUUUUGAAAAUAGAAAAUGAUCGAUUGGUGUUAAAUAAAAAUCAUUCAUAUUAUGGACAAAUUCAACUGGGCAUGGCAAUAAUGAAUUUAAAAGAAUGUGACUUCAUUGUUUAUUCAUCACUAGAUAAAUCUUUUUUAAAUAUUGUUGUACCAUUUGAUGAAGGAUUUGCAUUCACAAUGAUGUCAAAAUUAAAGACCAUAUAUUUUGAACAUAUGAUAUUUGUAUAAAUUAGAAAUAGGACUUUUUAAAAUUUCAUAUUCGAAUAAUUCAAAUAAUCAAAAUUAGAUAUGUAGUCAAAUAUUCAAAUUACUGGAAUAAUUAAGCACAUAAUUAUACAGAUAUUUUAUUUUUAAUACCUAAAACUAUAUUUUCAGUUUUAACUUAUUGUGAAAAAACAUUCAAAUGAAAACCACAGGAGAACACUAAUCUAAACCAUAUAAAUUA